This 515-nucleotide ribosomal RNA is filed under the name uncultured bacterium. Its description in RNAcentral is "bacterial SSU rRNA". It matches the Rfam family "Bacterial small subunit ribosomal RNA", at positions 28 to 526 of the family's 1533-position model. The record is from RNAcentral.
GACGAACGCUGGCGGCGUGCUUAACACAUGCAAGUCGAACGGACAAACUCGAUAGCUUGCUAGGAAGUUUGUUAGUGGCGGACGGGUGAGUAACGCGUGGGUAACCUACCCAAAUGUUCGGGACAACACCGGGAAACUGGUGCUAAUACCGGAUACACUGCCUGGAGGGCAUCCUCCGGGCAGGAAAGGAGCAAUCCGCAAAUGGAUGGACCCGCGUCCCAUUAGCUAGUUGGUGAGGUAACGGCCCACCAAGCCGACGACGGGUAGCCGGUCUGAGAGGAUGGCCGGCCACAAGGGCACUGAGACACGGCCCAGACUCCUACGGGAGGCAGCAGUGGGGAAUAUUGGACAAUGGGGGAAACCCUGAUCCAGCGACGCCGCGUGUGUGAAGAAGGCCUGCGGGUUGUAAAGCACUUUUAGUGGGGAGGAAAUGCUCAGACCUAACACGUCUGGGAGCUGACUUAACCCAAAGAAAAGCACCGGCUAACUCUGUGCCAGCAGCCGCGGUAAGAGUC